This is a long non-coding RNA of Aedes albopictus (Asian tiger mosquito), 1693 nucleotides long. RefSeq lists it as uncharacterized. The record is from RefSeq and is a predicted model, not a curated record. Lineage: Eukaryota; Metazoa; Arthropoda; Insecta; Diptera; Culicidae. The transcript has 3 exons.
GUUUAGUUGAGGAAAAGAUGUAACUUGAGGUCUGCUCAAGAGUUAGGUUGACCGACUUGUCUCUGACCAUCAUCCUAGGAGGAUGAGUGAAGAUUUUGUGAAUUUUUCAUAAAUCGCUUGAUCAUCGAUUUAUGAAAAAUUCUUCCGCUACGGUAGAGUUGUGUUACGUUUAAGUUUGUUUUGAGAUUAUAUUAAUUAGAGAAUCAACAUGUGAACACAAUGAAUAAGCAGAAAACUAUAUUAAGCUGAAUCCGCCACGCACGCCAACAUCAUUUCUCGAAAAUCGAGCACUAACGACCAAUUCAAAUAGCUGUCAACAUAAAGGCCUUUCGCAAAGCGACGACGCAAAAACAAGCGCCGCCGGACGGCGAGUUGGAACGCACACACAGGCGAAACCGACAACAGCAGAGCUCGAUCGUUCUUUUGUGAUCCCGUCAGAACCAAUCGUCUCCGUCCGUUCGAUCGCGUUGGACGCGACCACGCGAGUGAAAAUCUGCAGCUCGAAUUCAGCAACCAAAUUUUCUUCUAGCGGAGAAAACAGCAAGAUAUCCAUCAAAUCUUGUGCUGCGCAGGACGACGGGACGAGUUGGCUGUGUUUGCCUAUUUACGGCACGUGUUGCUUAACCUCCAAAAACGUUGGCCGCACCGAAAUCCAACCUACCGAUCGGUUGGCAGAUAAGAUCGACCACCACACAUCUGAGAGCAUCGGAUCCGACAAUUCCAUCCGAAACAACGCUGGAAGCACCGCUUGGGGUGAAGGCGCACAAGAGCGACGCCAUAUUGUCGGGCAGUGCAUUUGCGCGGGACCAGAGGCCUUCCGUAGGAAGUGAGUAGGAAGAACCAUCCUGAAAUCAAGAAUUGGCUAACCCUCUGGUGGCCGCAGGGCCUUUGUUUACACCUUUAUUUCCAGUUUCGCUUCGCGAGACGGAAGCAGCAUCGUGCAGCUCCAGCGGUGGACAAUUCGGAGAGAUCAGGUGGUGAGCAAGCCUGUGGACCCGAAGAGGUCCAAUUACGGUGUGUUCGCAUCAGGUGACUUGACGGCUUGACGACCGAAAUUGCGGAGGAGACGGCACGGGCAUUCCCGAUUACGGUUUCGACAUCGAGGCCGAGUGGACGACACGAAAAUUCCCACUACGGUUGUGGAUUCGGCCGGUUUCGCUCGACAGGAACAAGAUCCGAGGAUAAACAGCGGAGGCCAGCGGUGAAUAGGGUAGCUCCAACAGAUUCCAUCCACGGAGUUGCCCGGGUCCGCUAAACGAGCUGCGAUCAGGGUGAGUGGACGUCACCUACGUACUCACUCCGGUCCGACAUCGACUGAGCGCUCUCGACGGUACGACGUGGCACGGUGAGAAGCACCGCUGGGCCAAAUUCCCGACGGUUCGAGGACGUGUACGAACAGCGAUGAUGGGUCAGCGGAUGACCAGUGCGUUGGCGGCGGAGCGGCAUGGGGGACGCCCCAAGAAGAUAAGUGCUAGCAUUUAAGAUCAUAUUUGGCGAUUGCCAACUCCAAAUGUUUAGCUAGUAAGCCAAUAAGCUAGAGAGGAAGAUGGGUAGACCCAAAUAUAUGUAUUGAUCUGCGAUUUGAUGUUUUUGUGGUUUGCGUUGAGCCUUUGCCCUUCAGUGUUUGCGGUUUUUGUUCUUUAAGCCUCGCUAACGGUAUUUUGCUCUAUCCGCUACCGGGGAACUUGCAACA